This 698-nucleotide ribosomal RNA is filed under the name uncultured bacterium. RNAcentral describes it as "bacterial SSU rRNA". It matches the Rfam family "Bacterial small subunit ribosomal RNA", at positions 54 to 728 of the family's 1533-position model. The record is from RNAcentral.
CAUGCAAGUCGAACGCGAAAGGCCCCUUCGGGGGCCGAGUAGAGUGGCGCACGGGUGAGUAACACGUAGGUAAUUUGCCUUCGGGUGGGGAAUAACAGCCGGAAACGGCUGCUAAUACCGCAUAAUGCAGCGGCUCGACAUCGAGACAGUUGUUAAAGCGGGGGAUCGCAAGACCUCGCGCCUGAAGAGAAGCCUGCGGCAGAUUAGCUAGUUGGUAGGGUAAUGGCCUACCAAGGCGACGAUCUGUAACUGGUCUGAGAGGACGACCAGUCACACCGGAACUGAGACACGGUCCGGACUCCUACGGGAGGCAGCAGUGGGGAAUAUUGGACAAUGGGGGCAACCCUGAUCCAGCGACGCCGCGUGGGUGAAGAAGGCCUGCGGGUUGUAAAGCCCUUUCGGUUGGGAAGAAAAGCUGUGACCUAACACGUCGCGGCCUUGACGUAACCAACUAAAGAAGCACCGGCUAACUCUGUGCCAGCAGCCGCGGUAAUACAGAGGGUGCGAGCGUUAAUCGGAAUUACUGGGCGUAAAGCGCGCGUAGGCGGCUUUGUAAGUCGGUUGUGAAAUCCCCGGGCUCAACCUGGGAACUGCAUCCGAGACUGCAUGGCUAGAGUAUGGGAGAGGGAAGUGGAAUUUCANGUGUAGCGGUGAAAUGCGUAGAUAUCUGAAGGAACAUCAGUGGCGAAAGCGACUUC